This 467-nucleotide ribosomal RNA is filed under the name Candidatus Anaplasma camelii. Its description in RNAcentral is "bacterial SSU rRNA". It matches the Rfam family "Bacterial small subunit ribosomal RNA", at positions 900 to 1365 of the family's 1533-position model. Lineage: Bacteria; Pseudomonadati; Pseudomonadota; Alphaproteobacteria; Rickettsiales; Anaplasmataceae. The record is from RNAcentral.
CUCAAAGGAAUUGACGGGGACCCGCACAAGCGGUGGAGCAUGUGGUUUAAUUCGAUGCAACGCGAAGAACCUUACCACUUCUUGACAUGGAGAUUAGAUCCUUCUUAACAGAAGGGCGCAGUUCGGCUGGAUCUCGCACAGGUGCUGCAUGGCUGUCGUCAGCUCGUGUCGUGAGAUGUUGAGUUAAGUCCCGCAACGAGCGUAACCCUCAUCCUUAGUUGCCAGCGGGUUAAGCCGGGCACUUUAAGGAGACUGCCAGUGGUAAACUGGAGGAAGGUGGGGAUGAUGUCAAGUCAGCACGGCCCUUAUGGGGUGUGCUACACACGUGCUACAAUGGUGACUACAAUAGGUUGCAAUGUCGUAAGGCUGAGCUAAUCCGUAAAAGUCAUCUCAGUUCGGAUUGUCCUCUGCAACUCGGGGCAUGAAGUCGGAAUCGCUAGUAAUCGUGGAUCAGCAUGCCACGGUGA